UGGGGAAUAUUGCACAAUGGGGGAAACCCUGAUGCAGCGACGCCGCGUGAGCGAUGAAGGCUUUCGAGUCGUAAAGCUCUGUCCUAUGGGAAGAUAAUGACGGUACCAUAGAAGAAAGCACCGGCUAAUUACGUGCCAGCAGCCGCGGUAAUACGUAAGGGGCGAGCGUUGUCCGGAAUUAUUGGGCGUAAAGAGUGCGUAGGCGGCAAAUUAAGUCAGAUGUGAAAACUAAGGGCUCAACCCAUAGAUUGCAUCUGAAACUGAUAUGCUUGAGUCAAGGAGAGGAAAGUGGAAUUCCUAGUGUAGCGGUGGAAUGCGUAGAUAUUAGGAGGAAGACCGGUGGCGAAGGCGACUUUCUGGACUUGAACUGACGCUGAGGCACGAAAGCGUGGGGAGCAAACAGG
This 404-nucleotide ribosomal RNA is filed under the name Verrucomicrobiota bacterium. Its description in RNAcentral is "Verrucomicrobia bacterium partial 16S ribosomal RNA". It matches the Rfam family "Bacterial small subunit ribosomal RNA", at positions 355 to 776 of the family's 1533-position model. The record is from RNAcentral. Lineage: Bacteria; Pseudomonadati; Verrucomicrobiota.